Molecule: ribosomal RNA, 546 nt
Filed under: uncultured bacterium
Lineage: Bacteria
Description: partial 16S ribosomal RNA
Rfam family: Bacterial small subunit ribosomal RNA
Source: RNAcentral
UGGGGAAUUUUGGACAAUGGGCGAAAGCCUGAUCCAGCAAUGCCGCGUGUGUGAAGAAGGCCUUCGGGUUGUAAAGCACUUUUGUCCGGAAAGAAAUCCUUGGCUCUAAUACAGUCGGGGGAUGACGGUACCGGAAGAAUAAGCACCGGCUAACUACGUGCCAGCAGCCGCGGUAAUACGUAGGGUGCAAGCGUUAAUCGGAAUUACUGGGCGUAAAGCGUGCGCAGGCGGUUUGCUAAGACCGAUGUGAAAUCCCCGGGCUCAACCUGGGAACUGCAUUGGUGACUGGCAGGCUAGAGUAUGGCAGAGGGGGUAGAAUUCCACGUGUAGCAGUGAAAUGCGUAGAGAUGUGGAGGAAUACCGAUGGCGAAGGCAGCCCCCUGGGCCAAUACUGACGCUCAUGCACGAAAGCGUGGGGAGCAAACAGGAUUAGUACCCUGGUAGUCCCACGCCCUAAACGAUGUCAACUAGUUGUUGGGGAUUCAUUUCCUUAGUAACGUAGCUAACGCGUGAAGUUGACCGCCUGGGGAGUACGGUCGCAAGAUU